CGUCCUGACGGAGCACGCCGCGUGAGUGAUGAAGGUCUUCGGAUCGUAAAACUCUGUUAUUAGGGAAGAACAAACGUGUAAGUAACUGUGCACGUCUUGACGGUACCUAAUCAGAAAGCCACGGCUAACUACGUGCCAGCAGCCGCGGUAAUACGUAGGUGGCAAGCGUUAUCCGGAAUUAUUGGGCGUAAAGCGCGCGUAGGCGGUUUUUUAAGUCUGAUGUGAAAGCCCACGGCUCAACCGUGGAGGGUCAUUGGAAACUGGAAAACUUGAGUGCAGAAGAGGAAAGUGGAAUUCCAUGUGUAGCGGUGAAAUGCGCAGAGAUAUGGAGGAACACCAGUGGCGAAGGCGACUUUCUGGUCUGUAACUGACGCUGAUGUGCGAAAGCGUGGGGAUCAAACAGGAUUAGAUACGGGGGGGAUAUUCCCA
Molecule: ribosomal RNA, 429 nt
Filed under: Staphylococcus epidermidis
Lineage: Bacteria; Bacillati; Bacillota; Bacilli; Caryophanales; Staphylococcaceae
Description: bacterial SSU rRNA
Rfam family: Bacterial small subunit ribosomal RNA
Source: RNAcentral